UGUGGCUCAGUCAACAGAGCAUAAGACUCUUAAUCUCAGGGUUGUGGGUUUAAGCCUCACAUUGGGCAAAA
Podarcis lilfordi (Lilford's wall lizard) is the source of this 71-nucleotide non-coding RNA. The record is from the annotation of a GenBank genome assembly. NCBI's taxonomy places the organism in Eukaryota, Metazoa, Chordata, Lepidosauria, Squamata, Lacertidae.